This is a long non-coding RNA of Calliphora vicina (urban bluebottle blowfly), 459 nucleotides long. RefSeq lists it as uncharacterized. The transcript has 3 exons. NCBI's taxonomy places the organism in Eukaryota, Metazoa, Arthropoda, Insecta, Diptera, Calliphoridae. The record is from RefSeq and is a predicted model, not a curated record.
UAAGUGGAACAGAGCAAAUAUGUAAUACAUAUAUCAAAUUAAAACAACUACAUUCCUGAUCCCUCAUGAUCUUGCUUAUCCCUAGAUAUAAUCUCCGGUAUAUCUUUAUCGUUGUGGUGAAUGAUUAAAUAAUAAAGAAGAACCGCCAUUACAACUAAAAACAAGACACCAGCAAGAAUUUGUAAAAACAAGCUCAAGGCACAUUUGCAGCAACUAAAAAUACGGAAAGGAAAACAAAUAAUAAUUAAACAAGAAAUCGGGAAUUUCCAAAAUGAAGUUAAUCGAUCAUUUCUCACAACACACUUGUUUGAACAAAUCUUCUUUAAAAACCUAAAAAAUUCCAAAUUACAUUUGAUUAUGUAAAUUAUCAAGAAGGCUGGCGUAAAAUUUAUUUAACAGCAUUAAAAUUCCAUAAUUUGACUGCAAGAUGUUAUAUUUUCCUUCAAAAUAUCACUUUAG